UACUCAGUCUCCAGUAACUAUAAAGACAGCUACUCCUGUGCUGUGAAAGGCCAUGAGGAUCUCCGGUCUCCUGCAGUCUGUGUCCAGGGUCAGGACUGCAACAGAGUGACUUACACCAAGAGGAGAAUCUGUGUCUUGAAGGGGUCAUCAGUGGACAUAUCAUGUACUUAUGGCAGUGGUAAUGAUACCGUCACAUCAUCACUCUGGUUUAGUCCUAAACAGAGUGCUAGGUGGAGUGAUAAGUUGAUCCCUGAGGACAUAACCACAGACCCAGGGUAUGCAGGUCGUGUGGAGUAUGGUGGAGAGAAGGAGAGAGGUCACUCCACCCUGAGAAUCACAGAUCUGAGAGAAGAGGACUCAGCUGAGUACAAGUUCAUAUUCAACACACAUACAUCAAGAUGGGGAUACAGCUUGACUGGAACAACUCUGACUGUCACAGGUUACACUGAACAAAUGAUCAUGUUUAUACAUACAUUUCUAUGUGAUGUUUAAUUAUAAUUAUUGAGGAAAGUUUGCUGGCUCACCUGUCUCCCUGACUGUCACAGAUGUUGUGUUGGAGAUGGAUCCUACAUCUGUGUCAGAGGGGGCGAGAGUCACACUGACAUGUAGAACCAAAUGUACACUGG
Molecule: long non-coding RNA, 626 nt
Organism: Coregonus clupeaformis (lake whitefish)
Lineage: Eukaryota; Metazoa; Chordata; Actinopteri; Salmoniformes; Salmonidae
Exons: 3
Source: RefSeq, a predicted model, not a curated record